UACGGAGGGUGCAAGCGUUAUCCGGAUUUACUGGGUUUAAAGGGUGUGUAGGCGGGUCUUUAAGUCAGGGGUGAAAUCUCCGAGCUCAACUUGGAAACUGCCAUUGAUACUAUUGAUCUUGAAUUCUGUUGAGGUGGGCGGAAUAAGUCAUGUAGCGGUGAAAUGCAUAGAUAUGACUUAGAACACCAAUUGCGAAGGCAGCUCACUAAGCAGAUAUUGACGCUGAGGCACGAAAGCGUGGGGAUCAAACAGG
Molecule: ribosomal RNA, 253 nt
Filed under: uncultured bacterium
Lineage: Bacteria
Description: partial 16S ribosomal RNA
Rfam family: Bacterial small subunit ribosomal RNA
Source: RNAcentral